This 446-nucleotide ribosomal RNA is filed under the name uncultured bacterium. Its description in RNAcentral is "bacterial SSU rRNA". It matches the Rfam family "Bacterial small subunit ribosomal RNA", at positions 330 to 792 of the family's 1533-position model. The record is from RNAcentral.
UCCAGACUCCUACGGGAGGCAGCAGUGGGGGAUAUUGCACAAUGGGGGGAACCCUGAUGCAGCGACGCCGCGUGGGUGAAGGAGCGUUUCGGCGCGUAAAGCCCUCUCGGCAGGGGAGAAGGAGGACGGUACCUGACUAAGAAGCCCCGGCUAACUACGUGCCAGCAGCCGCGGGAAUACGUAGGGGGCAAGCGUUAUCCGGAUUUACUGGGUGUAAAGGGUGCGUAGACGGAGAAGCAAGUUAGUUGUGAAAUCCCUCGGCUUAACUGAGGAACUGCAACUAAAACUACUUCCCUUGAGUACUGGAGAGGAAAGUGGAAUUCCUAGUGUAGCGGUGAAAUGCGUAGAUAUUAGGAGGAACACCAGUGGCGAAGGCGACUUUCUGGACAGUAACUGACGUUGAGGCACGAAAGUGUGGGGAGCAAACAGGAUUAGAUACCCGAGUA